GCCCCUAAUUCAUGUAAUUUCUAAACUCUGGACAAAAACUCUGGUCACAAACCCUGUGUUUGAGUUUCAUAGAUUUCUGUUAACUUAUACUAAAAGUAAUUAUGCGAAAACCUAAGUGUCUUCGGACUACGACGACUACAUGAUAAAAUUGAGAAUGGGAAUGGGGAAUGUGUCAAAGACCCCCCUUUUUUGGACUAUCAAUGCAUUUGAAUGGGGACAUGUAAUUACCCCCCCCCCUUUUUGUCCUGGGUUAGGAAACCCCUUUUUAAAAUGACUGGAUCCGCCCCUGAAGGGUCUAUCAUUAAGUUUGACAACUUCAGACAUACUACUUUACCAAAAAAAUUGACACAUUUCAUCCAAUUUAAUUUCAUUCUUUACUUGCUAUUUCAUCCAUAAUAUUUUAAAGAAAGAAAUUUGGAAGGAGUAUGAUUUUAAUUUGCAAGUUAUACACUAUCCAAACUAGAGACCUAAUAGAGUAGAUAUAUACUUGACUAAGGGAGCUACCAUUUGAUUUUUAGGGGGGGGGGGGGGCUAGGAUGAAAAAUUUUAUCCUGCAUUUUUUUUUUAGCUGUAAUCUCUGUCCUGCCUUUUUAUUUUUCACUCUGUUCGUUCCUGCCUUUCUUUUUUUAGUUUAUCCUGACUUUUUUUUUUUGCUAGUGUCUCAUCCUGCCUUUUUUUUCUUCUCAAAACUCCUGUUCUGCCUAUUUUUUUCAAAUUUCAUCCUAGCCCCCCCCCCCCCCAUAAAAAUCAAAUGGAAGCUCCCUAAUUUAAAUCAAACUUGGGGUGACUGGGGACAAAGAUUUAAGGGAAUAGAUGACAGUUUACCUACAAUGAUCUAGCUUCAUGGCAAUGGCAUACAUUACAGACUACAUGUACAUCAUGUACAUGGUCAUUCUUAAUUGUGUUUAAACUUUGGGAGUUCAUUUUUUUAAUGUUUAAAGCUAACAAUUUCAACUACAUACAUUUAUCAAGAUUUGAUUCUACAUUUAUAUAUAAUUGUGUAUGUCACAUGUAUGUACAUGAUGUAUUUUAAUGUAAAGCAUCUGAAAACUCAUUAGCCGUUUCAUAUUUAUUUCAGUUCUUCAAAAGGCAAAUUUAUAUGAGCCUAUGCCUGAAAACAGAGAUUUCUUAUUAAGGAGAAAGCCCGCCCCCCCUUUUUGGUGUGAAAUAUUUUGUUGAUUAUAUAGGGAAUCACUGAAGCAUGACUGGAGCAAGCAUCCCCCUCUGCCCCCC
Molecule: long non-coding RNA, 1233 nt
Filed under: Mytilus galloprovincialis (Mediterranean mussel)
Lineage: Eukaryota; Metazoa; Mollusca; Bivalvia; Mytilida; Mytilidae
Source: RNAcentral